This is a long non-coding RNA of Drosophila kikkawai, 912 nucleotides long. RefSeq lists it as uncharacterized. Lineage: Eukaryota; Metazoa; Arthropoda; Insecta; Diptera; Drosophilidae. The record is from RefSeq and is a predicted model, not a curated record.
UACUGGAUGCAGACUCGCACCCAUACAGCCUCAACAAAAAAAAAAAAAGAAAAAAGUACGAUCCAAGUCGAGAGCCGAUGGCGAUUAAAUUAGUCACGGCGCGACAAGGUGGCACGGGAGGGUCAAGGGGGGUCUGGAAGCAAGGGGGGCAGCAGCCAAGCCAACAUCGAAGUGGACCAACGGGUGGACAAGACCCACAGACAGACGUGAGACGACGAGUGACCAACAAAAAUAAUAAACACAUAUACAGCCAAGAAAUUCAGAAGAUAUGAAUGAAAAAUCAAGGGAAACUAACCAAGCGAUCGACUUAAUAGCUGGACAUUAGUGCCUGGCACUUCUACAAAGCUCCCGAGGAGAAAGCUCACCUUACGGCCGAAGUUCCCCCAUCAGACGGACGUGGAGCUUCUGCCCAAAAGCCCCGUACUCUUUUUCGGGAGAGAAUCAAAUGGAAUAACGAACCGAACGAGCGGACGAGGCAAACGAGGCAAUAACAAAACGCAGUCCAGCCAGUUGCUAUAUUGGAGAUAUUGCUCUUCGGGGGCGGCAGAGAGCACUGCCUGAGUUGGGGUGAACUGGGGGGCGUGGUCGGUGCAAAACGUGGGGCUGCCGAUUUCUACGGCUGAUGCAACACACAUGUGUGCAUGCACUACGGGCACACACAUGGAGCGCAGGAUGUGAGUGUGUUUGUGAGCUAGCAGCACAAAAUCAAAGCCAGUUGACACACACACACUGGCACACUAACACCAAUACUGGCUUAUCAAGCGCAACGCAAUAGCAACUGCCGCGCACAGUGGACAGAAUAGACGAGAGAUGUUGAUAAGCAGUAUUAUUAUAACUAGUAUAACUAUAUAAAACUAAAAAAUUAUGAAUUAUAAUUAAAAAAAUAAACUUCAGAAAACAUAGAAUUUCUAA